AUGGCGUCCGUCUAUACCGCGCCCCUCGCGCCGCUGCCCGCCACGGCCGCCUCCUUCCCCUCCUCGUCCUCGUCCUCGCGGCAGCUGGACCCCAACCCUAGCCGAUUCCUCGCCGCGCACCGCGGCCAGCGCCUCCUCCGCGUCCGCCGCCUGGCGGGCGCCGCGCCGACCCGCCGCGCCUCCGACGCCGCCUCGGUGUUCCGGUGCGGCGCGCGCAGCUCCGGCGCGGACCCCGGCGGCGAGCCACGCCGAGGCUGGGACGCUCUCUUCCACGAUGCCCUCCAGGGCGCCGUGCGGCGGUGGAGCGAGUACGUCGGGAAUUACUGGCCCUCCGCACACCCCUCGAAGGAGGCGGGUCUCGCGAAGGGAGCGGAGAGUUCUCACGAACUGGAGGAGAGAGGGCAGGGAGUGGAGGAAGACGGUGAGGAGGUGGACGUGGUGCAGGAAGCAGGGAAGUGGAGCUGGGAGAGGUGGAAGCAGCACUUCGCCCUCAUUCAGGAGAGCGAGCGCCUUGUUGAUGAACUGCAGCUACAACUCCGCACUGCUGUGUGUAGAGAAGACUAUAGGAGUGCCCACAAACUGAAGUUAGCUAUUGCUGCUACAUCAAGAAAUGAUACUGUCGGCAGAGCAAUAUCUGAGUUACAUAGGGCCAUAGAAGAGGAGCGCUAUGUGGAUGCAGCUUAUAUUAGAGACCAAGCUGGUGCAGGACUGUUGGGAUGGUGGUCUGGGAUUUCUGGAAGUUUGUCUGAUCCAUAUGGUCUUAUAAUCCGUAUAAGCGCUGAACAUGGUCGAUACGUGGCAAAAAGUUAUGAUAUCAGGCAGCUGGCUUCAGAUGGCCAUGGUUACCCUAUAUUCGAAAUUUAUUUUGCAGAGGCAAAUGGAGGAUACAACCUGCAGGCAGUGCAUCUGAAACCAGAUGUCAGUGAUUCGGACCAGUUGCGAAACAUGUUGAGUGGAAAACUAGAUGUCAACAAUAUAAACAUAUCUAGCAAUUCCUUAGGUGCUAAACACGAGGAACACGAUGAAGGCAUAAACAUGGACGAUCAAAAUAGCGAUGAUAGUGAUGUUGCUGCUGGUCCAGCUGGUUUGAAAAACCUGUCAAAUGAUUCAACUCCAAUUCCCAGGAUCAAAAUAUUGAAGGUAGCGCCUAUGGAAAACAUCAACCAGGACUAUAUAAUUAAAAUAUUUGAUCAGAUUUCAGAGGAAGAUGAUGACAAUGAUGAAGCUGAGAUCGAAAAUGAAUCUUCACAAGAUAUUGGCGAUGAAGAUAACAAUGAAGAAGCAGGAACAAUUUCUGCAGAAGAGAAUAAUGAUGAGUCUGGUGAGGAAAGUGAUAUUGAAGCAUUGUUAUCGAUUGGAAUUGAAGUUGAUAAUGAUAAGGAUUUUGCUUCACAGUCCUCACCUAAAACGUUUGAACGCAUGCCAGCUAAAUUAGACAAGAGAGACCGCUUUUCAUUUACCUUCUAUACUGAACAAUCCAGUAAAAAGCCAGCUGCAGAAAAGGCUCAGCAGAUUCCGAGGAAGCGGGUUGGCUUCCGUACCACUGAGCAGGAUGGUGAUCUCAAGUUUGAUCGUGUAAAGUUGUCUGGGGGCAAUAGGAAACUACCGAUACUACAACUUGGUAUUAAGCAACUUAAUAACAAGGUUCAGCCAAAACUAUAUGGAGUUACCCACUUCAGCCGUAUUCAGAUGCCCAUCUCUUCAGAUCCUCUUAGUGGUCUAUAUGAGACUGCAUCUGGGUUUGACUCAGAAGUUCUUAGUUUACAACGGAAAUUUGGUCAAUGGCAGGAGGAUGAUUCAUCUGAGGAGCACUCGGAUCUUAAGUUUUAUGAGUAUGUCGAAGCUGCAAAAUUGACUGGGGACAAUCUUGUGCCAGCGGGUCAGGUUGUCUUCCGUGCAAAAGUUGGCAAACACUAUCAGCUUCCUCAUAAGGGGGUCAUCCCUAGAGAACUUGGAGUGGUUGCUAGGUAUAAGGGGCAAAGGAGGAUUGCAGAUGCUGGCUUCAAAAAUCCUCGAUGGGUUGACGGCGAGCUUUUGAUACUAGAUGGAAAGUUCAUCAGAGAUGGUCCUGUGAUAGCUUUCUUCUACUGGACAUCAAAUCUCCAUCUUUUUGAAUUCUUUAGGCGGUUGAGUCUUCCUGACUAG
Molecule: ribosomal RNA, 2145 nt
Filed under: Triticum aestivum (bread wheat)
Lineage: Eukaryota; Viridiplantae; Streptophyta; Magnoliopsida; Poales; Poaceae
Description: partial small subunit ribosomal RNA
Source: RNAcentral